Ixodes scapularis (black-legged tick) is the source of this 917-nucleotide long non-coding RNA. RefSeq lists it as uncharacterized. The record is from RefSeq and is a predicted model, not a curated record. NCBI's taxonomy places the organism in Eukaryota, Metazoa, Arthropoda, Arachnida, Ixodida, Ixodidae. The transcript has 2 exons.
AAAACAAAAAAAACAGCGUCUUGGGCGCAUGUUUUGUUGUGAUUGCGACAAAAUAAUUCGUUUCCUACGCAGACUACUGCAAAACAACGCGUGGAAACACGUCGAAACACGUUGAAACGUGCUGCAACGCGAGCGGGCGAUUGCGCGACGCUAGCUAGUCGUACCACUCACAGAUGGCGCCAGCGGCAGCUGUGCUCGUUUUUCUCUUUCGGUUUUUACUUUCCGGAGCUGCCGACGUCACACCCCCACGGCAACAUAAACAAGGGAGCGAAUCGCUCGCCGAGACAUAUCUGCAGCGUUGACUGGCAUCGCAGGAAGCACCGUCCGCGUCGUGUAUACACGAGUACCUCACCAUGUCCGAGAGCCACUUUGACGAGUACGAGCACUACAACUUCGACCAGGACAAGUUCAUCUUCGCGGGUCACAGCGGCAAGCAGCGGACGAAGCGAGAGGUGUCCGAACACACGAACCACCACGACCCGAACGGUCACGUUCGGAAGCUAGUCACCAAGAUGGUCAACACCGAAAGGAACCGCAAGAACUCGGGUAGUGGCAGACCCUAAUCCGCGAAAGGAGCCUCUACACUCCUGCGGGGUCCGACGCUGGCCAAGGCACAACUGGUACAACUUUCCCAUGGUGCAACCACGGAACGGAUUUCAACUGUGAUGUUUUACUAUAGGACUGGCAUAGUGCGCGCCGUGAAUGUGCACAGACUCGCUCUUUUUUCCCUCGCUCUACUUACGACGUGGCUCUAAAAGCAAAGCGCCUUCUUCGAAAAGAUGGCCUCCCCUGCCCUUUCCACUUCGUCUUCCACGGGACUGCCACGAAACUCGGUGGAGCUACUCGAAGCGAUGAGUUCGUUCGGGGAUGGGAUUCUUCUACUCUUCAAUAAAAAGUGUAUGUUAUCACUUACGCAA